This 504-nucleotide ribosomal RNA is filed under the name Allobosea thiooxidans. RNAcentral describes it as "bacterial SSU rRNA". It matches the Rfam family "Bacterial small subunit ribosomal RNA", at positions 95 to 630 of the family's 1533-position model. The record is from RNAcentral. Lineage: Bacteria; Pseudomonadati; Pseudomonadota; Alphaproteobacteria; Hyphomicrobiales; Alloboseaceae.
GUGGCAGACGGGUGAGUAACACGGGGGAACGUACCUUUCGGUUCGGAAUAAUUCAGGGAAACUUGGACUAAUACCGGAUACGCCCUUCGGGGGAAAGAUUUAUCGCCAAUAGAUCGGCCCGCGUCUGAUUANCUAGUUGGUGAGGUAAUGGCUCACCAAGGCGACGAUCAGUAGCUGGUCUGAGAGGAUGAUCAGCCACAUUGGGACUGAGACACGGCCCAAACUCCUACGGGAGGCAGCAGUGGGGAAUAUUGGACAAUGGGCGCAAGCCUGAUCCAGCCAUGCCGCGUGAGUGAUGAAGGCCUUAGGGUUGUAAAGCUCUUUUUGUCCGGGAAGAUAAUGACUGUACCGGAAGAAUAAGCCCCGGCUAACUUCGUGCCAGCAGCCGCGGUAAUACGAAGGGGGCUAGCGUUGCUCGGAAUCACUGGGCGUAAAGGGCGCGUAAGGCGGACUCUUAAGUCGGGGGUGGAAAAGCCCAGGGCUCAACCCUGGAAUUGCCUUCCA